UCUCUGGUGGUCCAGUGGUUAAGACUCUGCAUUUCCACUGCAGGAGGCAUGGGUUCAAUCCCUGGUCAGGGAA
RNAcentral lists this transfer RNA (73 nucleotides) under Odocoileus virginianus texanus. It matches the Rfam family "tRNA". From Rfam's summary of the family: Transfer RNA (tRNA) molecules are approximately 80 nucleotides in length. Lineage: Eukaryota; Metazoa; Chordata; Mammalia; Artiodactyla; Cervidae. The record is from Rfam by way of RNAcentral. RNAcentral also lists the same sequence under 4 other names.